This 253-nucleotide ribosomal RNA is filed under the name uncultured bacterium. RNAcentral's name for it is "partial 16S ribosomal RNA". It matches the Rfam family "Bacterial small subunit ribosomal RNA", at positions 524 to 776 of the family's 1533-position model. The record is from RNAcentral.
GACGAAGGUGGCUAGCGUUAUCCGGAAUGAUUGGGCGUAAAGCGUCCGCAGGUGGCUGUGUAAGUCUGCUGUCAAAGAGCGAAGCUCAACUUCGUAAAGGCAGUGGAAACUACACGGCUAGAGUGCGUUCGGGGCAGAGGGAAUUCCUGGUGUAGCGGUGAAAUGCGUAGAGAUCAGGAAGAACACCGGUGGCGAAGGCGCUCUGCUAGGCCGCAACUGACACUGAGGGACGAAAGCUAGGGGAGCGAAUGGG